GCGGUAAUUCCAGCUCUGUAAGCGUAUACCAAAGUUGUUGCAGUUAAAACGCUCGUAGUCGAAUUUUGGCGGUUUCCGUGAUUUGCCCGCAAGGGUAAUUUUGUGGCGGCCGCCUUUGUGGAUGGGGGCUUGAUGGUGCUUUAUUGCCUCGUCGAGUCACCGCCACCGUUUACUGUGAAAAAAUUAGAGUGUUCAAAGCGGGCGAUUGCCAUUGAAUACAUUAGCAUGGAAUAAUAGAAUAGGACCUGUGUCUUAUUUUGUUGGUUUGUUAAGUUCAGGUAAUGAUUAAGAGGGACGGUUGGGGGCAUUUGUAUUCCGGCGCUAGAGGUGAAAUUCUCGGAUU
This 343-nucleotide ribosomal RNA is filed under the name uncultured rhodophyte. RNAcentral's name for it is "SSU rRNA". It matches the Rfam family "Eukaryotic small subunit ribosomal RNA", at positions 576 to 926 of the family's 1831-position model. Lineage: Eukaryota; Rhodophyta. The record is from RNAcentral.